Molecule: ribosomal RNA, 249 nt
Filed under: uncultured prokaryote
Description: partial 16S ribosomal RNA
Rfam family: Bacterial small subunit ribosomal RNA
Source: RNAcentral
UACGGAGGAUGCAAGCGUUAUCCGGAUUCAUUGGGUUUAAAGGGUGCGUAGGCGGACUAUUAAGUCAGUGGUGAAAGCCUGCAGCUUAACUGCAGAACUGCCAUUGAUACUGAUAGUCCUGAGUUUGGUUAAGGUAGGCGGAAUGUGUAAUGUAGCAGUGAAAUGCUUAGAUAUUACACAGAACACCAAUUGCGUAGGCAGCCUACUGAGCCGACACUGACGCUGAGGCACGAAAGCGUGGGGAUCGAA